AUUGAACGCUGGCGGCAGGCCUAACACAUGCAAGUCGAACGGUAACAGGAAGCAGCUUGCUGCUUCGCUGACGAGUGGCGGACGGGUGAGUCAUGUCUGGGAAGCUGCCUGAUGGAGGGGGAUAACUACUGGAAACGGUAGCUACUACCGCAUAAUGUCGCAAGACCAAAGAGGGGGACCUUCUGGCCUCUUGCCAUCGGAUGUGCCCAGGUGGGAUUAGCUUGUUGGUGGGGUAACGGCUCACCAAGGCGACGAUCCCUAGCUGGUCUGAGAGGAUGACCAGCCACACUGGGACUGAGACACGGUCCAGACUCCUACGGGAGGCAGCAGUGGGGAAUAUUGCACAAUGGGCGCAAGCCUGAUGCAGCCAUGCCGCGUGUAUGAAGAAGGCCUUCGGGUUGUAAAGUACUUUCAGCGGGGAGGAAGGGAGUAAAGUUAAUACCUUUGCUCAUUGACGUUACCCGCAGAAGAAGCACCGGCUAACUACGUG
Molecule: ribosomal RNA, 490 nt
Filed under: uncultured bacterium
Lineage: Bacteria
Description: partial 16S ribosomal RNA
Rfam family: Bacterial small subunit ribosomal RNA
Source: RNAcentral